Molecule: ribosomal RNA, 429 nt
Filed under: bacterium
Lineage: Bacteria
Description: partial 16S ribosomal RNA
Rfam family: Bacterial small subunit ribosomal RNA
Source: RNAcentral
UAGGGAAUCUUCCACAAUGGACGCAAGUCUGAUGGAGCAACGCCGCGUGAGUGAAGAAGGUUUUCGGAUCGUAAAGCUCUGUUGUUGGUGAAGAAGGAUAGAGGCAGUAACUGGUCUUUAUUUGACGGUAAUCAACAAGAAAGUCACGGCUAACUACGUGCCAGCAGCCGCGGUAAUACGUAGGUGGCAAGCGUUGUCCGGAUUUAUUGGGCGUAAAGCGAGCGCAGGCGGAAUUGUAAGUCUGAUGUGAAAGCCCACGGCUCAACUGUGGAACUGCAUCGGAAACUGUCAGUCUUGAGUGCAGAAGAGGAGAGUGGAAUUCCAUGUGUAGCGGUGGAAUGCGUAGAUAUAUGGAAGAACACCAGUGGCGAAGGCGGCUCUCUGGUCUGCAACUGACGCUGAGGCUCGAAAGCAUGGGUAGCGAACAGG